GAGGACUUCGUGUAGUGGGUGCACGUCGCAAAGCCGUUAGGUUCCGCCGAGGGUACGCGAAGGCCUCAGUUCGAUCCUGGGAGUCCUCA
Non-coding RNA from Xylaria sp. FL0043, 89 nucleotides. The record is from the annotation of a GenBank genome assembly. NCBI's taxonomy places the organism in Eukaryota, Fungi, Ascomycota, Sordariomycetes, Xylariales, Xylariaceae.